UUGUUCCUUUUUCCUAUGCAUAUACUUCUUUGAGAAUUCGAUCUAAAGAGGUAUAGUGCAUGGGAAAAUGGGGCGA
RNAcentral lists this microRNA precursor (76 nucleotides) under Buceros rhinoceros silvestris. RNAcentral's name for it is "mir-202 microRNA precursor family". It matches the Rfam family "mir-202 microRNA precursor family". Lineage: Eukaryota; Metazoa; Chordata; Aves; Bucerotiformes; Bucerotidae. The record is from Rfam by way of RNAcentral.